GAACGAGGGAGGACAAGAAAGCUGCCCAAAUGAAACUGAUAUACAAAAUUCCAUCGACAAUUGCAGUUGUGAGGUCUCGUCGAAGUUACAUGAAGAAAUUUCAUUGGCAUUACUUGAUCAUGAAAAAUAGAGAUUAUAUCUUAAGGUUUCCUCUAAGUGAUGGAACUAAUAAAAGCUUUCUACCAGCACAUUUUACCAUCUGCUCAUCCUCUGAGUGGGUAGAAGCAGACCUAGUAUACAUCAUUGUAGUGGAUACCAGUACAUCAUCUCCAAAUCCGCAUGCUCCGAAAAAUGGCUUCUGUAGAUCAGAACAGAGGGCUGCUAUGUCAUAUAUGUCUCUGUUCACAAGAAUCCUUAGUAUCCUUUGAACUAUCUUCCUGCCAAUGCCUCUUCUUCGUAGUGAAGGGAUGACCAUAACAUCAUAGAUUGCAGCAGUCAGUCCGGAAUCAGAAACAGCACGUCCAAAUCCAACCAAUUCUCCAUUUCCCGGCGUCACAGGCACUACCUUUCCGAUCCAAUCUCCACCAAUACCAGUUAAACCCGACCCGGAUACAUUCUCCGGAGCCAAAUCAGGUACAAAUUCGGGUCUCGUAAACACCGAAGCAACAACGUAGCUAUGAAGUAAAGCUUUUCGGAGCUUGUCGAUAUCUACCGGCUCAACUCUACCUUCGGAGUUCAGUUUCGGAAAACGGUGACAAGAAUGGUUGCAUGCGGUAUAGAGGUCUCUAAGGUGAAUUGGAUUUACGUCGUUAGGGUUUGUUGAGAUGAAUAGUGGCGGCGGCGUUGGCCUGAUUUGAGAGACUGUUGGCUGAGUGAAGCGGCGGAAUUUGGAGGGAAGAUAACCGCCGUUCACGGCGGC
RNAcentral lists this unclassified non-coding RNA (859 nucleotides) under Hevea brasiliensis (rubber tree). The record is from RNAcentral. Lineage: Eukaryota; Viridiplantae; Streptophyta; Magnoliopsida; Malpighiales; Euphorbiaceae.